UACGUAGGGGGCAAGCGUUAUCCGGAUUUACUGGGUGUAAAGGGAGCGCAGACGGAACUGCAAGUCUGAUGUGAAAGCCCGGGGCUCAACCGCGGGACUGCAUCGGAUACUGUAGAUCUGGAGUGCCGGAGGGGCAAGCGGAAUUCCUGGUGUGGCGGUGAAAUGCGUAGAUAUCAGGAGGAACACCGGCGGCGAAGGCGGCUUGCUGGACGGCAACUGACGUUGAGGCUCGAAAGCGUGGGGAGCAAACAGGAUUAGAUACCCGGUA
This 268-nucleotide ribosomal RNA is filed under the name uncultured prokaryote. RNAcentral's name for it is "partial 16S ribosomal RNA". It matches the Rfam family "Bacterial small subunit ribosomal RNA", at positions 524 to 792 of the family's 1533-position model. The record is from RNAcentral.